This 694-nucleotide unclassified non-coding RNA is filed under the name Hevea brasiliensis (rubber tree). The record is from RNAcentral. Lineage: Eukaryota; Viridiplantae; Streptophyta; Magnoliopsida; Malpighiales; Euphorbiaceae.
UUAAUUUGUUAUUUUUUUUGGGACUAAAUUUCUUGAUUUAAGUUCAAAAAUAAAGAAGCUAAAUUUUUUUUUAUAUGUAUGUAUUUCUAGGCUAAAUUGAGCUUAAAUUGAAACUUAUAGACUAAAUUGGAUAAAAAGUUAAAAAUGGGCUAAACUGAACCUCCUUUAAUAAGUACAAGGGUGUAGUUGAUCUUUAAGCCAUUCUUUUUUAUAAGAAAAAGUUGCUACAACUGUAGCAUAUAUUUUUAUUUGCCUGCUAAUGACAUUUUGCAACUACAAAGAAAUGGUUCAAGUAAGGUGGUUCAAAAUAAACAGAUCUGUUUUUAUUGAAAUUACAAUGUGCCUUUUUCUUUCCUUUGCAUAGUCUGUACUAAUGAUAGUGGUGUUACAUUCUACAGCCUGAGCUUGUCCAGCGUGUUGAGAAAGAUCUGCUGAACAUCAUGGCUGGUGGAACUGUUGAAAAUGCUGAUAUCCUUUUGUAUUGUUCUCACCUUUCUAGUGGCCCAAAGGUUCUGGUAUUCCAAAUUUAGCUAUCAAUAAGAUUAUAAAGUGCUCUUUUGUGAAAUAUCAUAUAACACUUGGAAAGAAGAAAAAAGUGAUGGGGCAACAGAAUGAGAAAGUUGCACUUUGAUACUAGGUUUGGUUGGAAUAGGAUCCUCCCCUGCCACUUCAUCUAGAUAACCAACUUGAGCAU